RNAcentral lists this ribosomal RNA (253 nucleotides) under uncultured bacterium. RNAcentral's name for it is "partial 16S ribosomal RNA". It matches the Rfam family "Bacterial small subunit ribosomal RNA", at positions 524 to 776 of the family's 1533-position model. The record is from RNAcentral.
CACGUACCGGACGAACGUUAUUCGGAAUUACUGGGCUUAAAGAGUACGUAGGCGGCUUUGUAGGUGAGGUGUGAAAUCCCACGGCUUAACCGUGGAAUGGCGCUUCAAACCACAAGGCUUGAGGGAGACAGGGGUGAGCGGAACAGAUGGUGGAGCGGUGAAAUGCGUUGAUAUCAUCUGGAACACCGGUGGCGAAGGCGGCUCACUGGGUCUCUUCUGACGCUGAGGUACGAAAGCUAGGGUAGCGAACGGG